RNAcentral lists this RNase P RNA (302 nucleotides) under Rickettsiales bacterium. Its description in RNAcentral is "RNase P RNA component class A". It matches the Rfam family "Bacterial RNase P class A". From Rfam's summary of the family: Ribonuclease P (RNase P) is a ubiquitous endoribonuclease, found in archaea, bacteria and eukarya as well as chloroplasts and mitochondria. Lineage: Bacteria; Pseudomonadati; Pseudomonadota; Alphaproteobacteria; Rickettsiales. The record is from RNAcentral.
UCAGACGAUCAGGACGCAGCGGUCAGCAAUGGCCGAGGAAAGUCCGGACAUCAUGUGGCAGCAUAGCGGCCAACGGCCGCGCGGGGCGACCCGACGAUCAGAGCAACAGAGACGAAUCACGGCAAGCGGUGGGUGAAACGGGCAAUCUCUAUGCGAUGCAACCUCAAAUAGGUUUCCGUUAACCGUGCCACCGGUUGGAAACGGGUAGGGGGCUUGACCCGGCAGAGUAAUCUGCCGCGGCAGAUUAAUUGCGUCCGCCGUGGAAACGCGGAACAGAAUCCGGCUUACGAAAGUCUGAAAAA